This 457-nucleotide long non-coding RNA is filed under the name Gossypium raimondii (Peruvian cotton). Its description in RNAcentral is "long non-coding RNA (GRAI_LNC007904)". The record is from RNAcentral. Lineage: Eukaryota; Viridiplantae; Streptophyta; Magnoliopsida; Malvales; Malvaceae.
GUGAGAGGAGUUCAAGAAACUUAAAUUUCAAAAUUAAAGAUUCAUUAAGCAGAAACUCCAGUCAGCAUUCAACUCGAGGAGAUGUAGAAUCUGAAUCAGCAAAAGCUCGCAUCCCGUUUGCUGUGGAUGAGAAACCUGUUCAAGUUCAAACAACAAUAAAUGGGAGAAGAGCAAAAGGGCAUAAACUCGAGGUCCCUCGAAAUAUUGACGAAGCAAAGACCAAAAAGAGUGCAAAUGUUUAUAACAUGCCGAGGACAAUGAAGAAUCAAAGUUCCAAUUUGCAAGAGAGGAAACAGACAAGGCAGGAGAAACCUGCUAUCUCAAGAGAAGCAGAUCAUGAAGCCAGCAGGUUCGAAGAAGCAGAAACACAGAUCAUUAGACCCAACGUGUCAGUAGCAAGCCCAAAAUCAUCACGCGUAGCACAAGAACUGCAGACAGAAGCACAAAAAGAUUCAAU